Gordionus sp. m RMFG-2023 is the source of this 214-nucleotide long non-coding RNA. RefSeq lists it as uncharacterized. Lineage: Eukaryota; Metazoa; Nematomorpha; Gordioida; Chordodea; Parachordodidae. The record is from RefSeq and is a predicted model, not a curated record. The transcript has 3 exons.
UUUAUAUUCCAGCAGAUUUAUAAAUUCCAGAUGAUUUUAGAUUUAAAGGAUUACAUAGAUAGAUUGAUAUUGACCCAUGGAUCCAAAUUAAUAUUUAACGAGGAAGCUAAGCUAUAUUUUGAAUCACUUUUAUUGCAAAUUUUGAAAAAAAUCUCUGUAUUUAAACCACAUUCUUUACAUGAUGUUCAAAACAUCUUAAAAAACUAUUUCCCAA